CCUGACUGACAUGACCUGUGAUCCAGUGAUUGACAGGAGAGGAAAGACAGUCCAACUUUGUUAACUCUUCGUUACGAUAUGCUCGAGAGGACAAAAUAUUUUGCACCUCGUUAUUGUUGGACCUCUGUGUGGAAACUGCAAACGGGACGUCAUAAGGUAAUGCAAAGGACUCUCCUACCUAACAUACUCGUUUAUUAAUUCUUAAGAGCAUAUAUAUUUUUUGUGUGUGUGUGGGAGGGGGCUUAAAAUCGGUGUUAGCUUGGUCGAAAUAGCACAUUAGCUGAAUUAUUCUGGAAAAAAAUAGGUUGUGUGUGUUUUUUUCUUUUCUUAUUUAAAUAUAUAUUUAGAUAUAUAUUUUCCACGGGGAGGGGCGAAGAACACGGGCGCAACGACAGUCUUUGUCUUUUUCCCGCCGAGUGUGGUGCAUUGUCCUCCUGCGCUUCUGUUCUAUGACUAUUGAGAAGCUGGCCACGCUAACAGUGGGACAUUUAGCUUCAGCUAAAGCAGCAGGUAAAAAUACACAUUUAAUGAGAAUAAAGAAAGACAACUUUUUUUUUUGGAAAUUUAGAGACUGCUAAAACAAUCUUAUCCAGUUUUGAGCUUGCUCAUGUAGGUUAGCCUGCUUUAUUUAAUUUUGUGUGAGCUGCAGUACACAACAUUAAAAAGUUAAUAUAAGAUUAGGUUGGUGGCGCGAGGAACUCCAACCUAAGUUUAAUAUUUAUUAUUUUUUUAAGUGGGAAGGGGAGCAUGUUUUUUUUCCUUUAAUACAACGUCUUCCAGGGUCUUUUUCAUAGGAAAACCGUGUAACGUCUGUGUUAGGUUGGUCAAAAGAGCAAUUAGUUGAAUUAUUCUUGAAAAGAUGGGUUGUGUGUUUUUUUUUCUUUUAUUUACUUAUGUAAAUAUAUUUUUCAAGGGUUAAAUAAAUGCAACAUUAAAUUAAUUGUCUCUCUGUCUUUUCCCGCCCAGUGUGGUGCAUUGCUGUCCUCCUGCCCUUGCUGGCUGCGCUGAGUGUGAUGUAGCCUCAGUGUUUGUGUUUUAAAGGCUUUUUCCACCAAGAUGUCUGUUGAGAGAGAGAUGACCUUACCCAUCACACCAAGGGGAAUAAUUUCAUGUCUGCAAGCCGCUGGAUGAUCAGUUUGGAGGGCAAGGUAUUUUAUGAGCCUGAGCAGAUGCAUGACUUUGCCAGCACCCUUGCUGUCUUCUUUGCGUCAUACUACGUUUUCAACCUUGAGUAUCAGG
Molecule: long non-coding RNA, 1239 nt
Organism: Astatotilapia calliptera (eastern happy)
Lineage: Eukaryota; Metazoa; Chordata; Actinopteri; Cichliformes; Cichlidae
Source: Ensembl